UUUCUAGUGUAAUUAUGUCCCAUGCACAACUUAGGACAUACUUAUACUAAAA
Molecule: non-coding RNA, 52 nt
Organism: Ictidomys tridecemlineatus (thirteen-lined ground squirrel)
Lineage: Eukaryota; Metazoa; Chordata; Mammalia; Rodentia; Sciuridae
Source: Rfam